This 253-nucleotide ribosomal RNA is filed under the name uncultured bacterium. RNAcentral describes it as "partial 16S ribosomal RNA". It matches the Rfam family "Bacterial small subunit ribosomal RNA", at positions 524 to 776 of the family's 1533-position model. The record is from RNAcentral.
UACAGAGGUCCCAAGCGUUGUUCGGAUUCACUGGGCGUAAAGGGCUCGUAGGUGGCCAACUAAGUCAGACGUGAAAUCCCUCGGCUUAACCGGGGAACUGCGUCUGAUACUGGAUGGCUUGAGUUUGGGAGAGGGACGCGGAAUUCCAGGUGUAGCGGUGAAAUGCGUAGAUAUCUGGAGGAAUACCGGUGGCGAAGGCGGCAUCCUGGACCGGCAUUGACGCUGAGGAGCGAAAGCUAGGGGAGCAAACGGG